RNAcentral lists this ribosomal RNA (442 nucleotides) under uncultured bacterium. RNAcentral describes it as "bacterial SSU rRNA". It matches the Rfam family "Bacterial small subunit ribosomal RNA", at positions 29 to 507 of the family's 1533-position model. The record is from RNAcentral.
AACGAACGCUGGCGGCAGGCCUAACACAUGCAAGUCGAACGAAGAGGCCCCUUCGGGGGUACUUCAGUGGCGCACGGGUGAGGAACACGUGGGUACCUGCCCAUCGGUACGGAAUAACCGCGGGAAACUGCGGCUAAUACCGUAUACGCCCUACGGGGGAAAGAUUUAUCGCCAUUGGAUGAACCCGCGUCGGAUUAGCUUGUUGGUGGGUAAUGGCCUACCAAGGCGACGAUCCGUAGCUGGUCCGAGAGGAUGAUCAGCCACACUGGGACUGAGACACGGCCCAGACUCCUACAGGAGGCAGCAGUGGGGAAUAUUGCACAAUGGGCGCAAGCCUGAUGCAGCCAUGCCGCGUGAGUGAAGAAGGCCCUAGGGUUGUAAAACUCUUUCACCGGUGAAGAUAAUGACGGUAGCCGGAGAAGAAGCCCCGGCUAACUCCGUG